AUCCUAGUGCACGGGCAUUUAGCGUAUCAGUGAGGAGUUAUCCGAGAUCGCUAUUUUGCUAGUUGAAAACUACAACUAAUGACCGCUCUUGUUGGCCUUCGGGUCGGCAAGGAAUAUUUGGAAACAAAGUUACUGG
This 136-nucleotide small nuclear RNA is filed under the name Macrophomina phaseolina MS6. RNAcentral's name for it is "U4 spliceosomal RNA". It matches the Rfam family "U4 spliceosomal RNA". Rfam says of the family: U4 small nuclear RNA (U4 snRNA) is a component of the major U2-dependent spliceosome. Lineage: Eukaryota; Fungi; Ascomycota; Dothideomycetes; Botryosphaeriales; Botryosphaeriaceae. The record is from Rfam by way of RNAcentral.